GCCGACGCUUGAUGCAUCUGAAUGGAUCUGGAAUGGUUUGGUAAAAUCAGGGCAAGCGAGCACCGGAGCCUGGGUGAGGGCUUCUUUAAGCGCUAGGAAUGACCUCUCUGCUUCCACUGUCCAGUCUACGGUGUCUCUACCCUUCUUCUUGCCAAUUAAAGCUGUCAUCGGGGCUAUGAUAGUUGAAAAAUUUGCCACGAAUCGUCGGUAAUAAGAACAGAGCCCUAUAAAUGCGCGUAGUUGCUUAGCGGUUGUUGGGCGCGGGAAAUUUUUAAUGCUAUCUAGCUUUUGUGGAUCUGUUAGUAGACCUUGUGAACCGACUAUGUAUCCAAGGUACCUAAGCUCUGAUUUACAAAAUUCGCACUUACUAAAAUUUAUAGUUAGACCUGGGCCCGUAGCCAAAUUACAUUCGCUCCGUAUCGAUUCGAUCUCUACGUUCGCGAGCGACUGGUCGAUAAUGUUUAUAAUAACCUAGCCAAGAGGCAAUCUUUUUAGUUAUCGCAUAUUCGACGGGCCAAGUCGAUAAAAAUUAAUUUUAGUCUGUGGUUCUCGUUCAAAACCGUCAAGAAACGUCAUCUGUCAGCUGUCAAGAGUGUCAAGUGAACAGCGAAUCUAAUUUUGGAGAAAAUAAUUGUUUUAUCGACAGCCGUCGUCACCGCAGCCCCAAUCAAGGCGGCGGCGCAGCCAGAGCGGGCAAGAGCGGGCUCCGCGGGCUCUUCUUCCACGCUGAGAAGUCCUCGCCAAGUUGGCACGAACAGUCAAAGCUGCCGCUGCAAUGACGCCUUCAUGGCAGUUACCAGUGCUAAGGACGUGCACUGCUGGCUUACUUGACCAGAAGAGACAAUACUUUAAGUGUUAGUAAUGAUUCAAACCGUGAAGUGAAAUUGUGAACAGGUUUGCCCGAAUCAGUGUAACCUCAGUGAACUCAUUUACUUCAUAGACUUCAAACAUUUUCGAAAUUAACAAAAGUCAAGCGAACAUUGAAUACAUAGAUGUUAUGCAUUAGAUAAGAUAAAAGCUGCCUGUGAAACCAAAACUAAUAAAUCAUAUUAUUACUUAA
This is a long non-coding RNA of Cydia fagiglandana, 1060 nucleotides long. RefSeq lists it as uncharacterized. The record is from RefSeq and is a predicted model, not a curated record. The transcript is spliced from 2 exons. Lineage: Eukaryota; Metazoa; Arthropoda; Insecta; Lepidoptera; Tortricidae.